CCCCAGUAUCUGCAGGGGAAGCUGGAAAAGUAUUGCUUGAAAACUGGGCCCCUCGCCACCCUGAACAAUACAGUGUAAGGCUUCUUCGCUUAGUGGAGAAGACACAAAGGAGCAGCAGGUCUCAGCUGGGAAGACUCGAUGAGCCGGAACUGAAAUCCUCUGAAGUCCCACUUGCCUGCAUAUCUGCUGGCUGAUGCUGGCUGUCAGCAGGACCGCUACGCCUCCCGUGGUCUGCUCAUGUAGCCCAGACAGCAAGUUGCGAGAGACAAAGAGAUUUCCAUGACUGCUGGUAAAGACUUGUGAGGCAUGAAGCAAGUUCUGCAGACACCAGGCCUAGGACCGUUCCCAUUGCAAAGUAAUCUCCUCCAAGCAGCCUCUCCAGACAGUGUCAGGUUUCUUGGGCUGAGUAUUUAUUUAGGAGGCUGCUGGUGAGUCUAAUCGCUUGGGACAUCUUAAUAACUGAAGUCGCAUUUGAUGGAAAAACUCAUAAAGAGGCUGUGGGUGAUUGAGGGCAUGUUUUCAGAAGGCUGGCUCCAAAUAUCCGCGAUGCCAUGUAGUUGGAAUUCUGCAGUGAGAAUGCGGAAGAAUUUUGAUGAAAGCAUCAGAGGGGUUUAUCUGAUUCUUCUAAUACAGUGUUUUCAACAAAAAAGAAACAAGUUCUCCAAUUGCUGAAAAGCACCAUUUAUUCGAGCUAGUAAAUGAAGUAUUUGUUAUUGGAAUUUAAAAAAAAAAAAGAAGCUAAGCUAUACCAUGGAUCCCUGAGGCAGAUUUUCAGGAAGCUGAGGCGAAGCAGAAAAAGGAAAGAAGAACUGAAAGAGAGAAGGCUUAGAAAAAUAUGCAGUUUGGUCUUGGACAUUCGCCAGGAAAAGCUGGAUAAUGAAGGAUUAAAACCAAAACAAAAAAGAAAAGGAAACAAGGGUAAGGAAAAGGCCAUAAAGAGCUGGCAGUGUGGUCAACAGAAACGAAAAGCCCCGAAUCUUGUCAUGGGUGGAGGGUGUGGGCACGGGGUGCAGGGCAGCAGGCCAAGGUCAAACUCCGGGCAGGAGAAAACCCUCCCCACAAACGGCAAAGAAAUGAACAGAGAGGAAAAGAUGAAUAUGGAGCUAGAAUAGAAAGAGAAAAGGAGGCAAUUUUAACAGGAAGCUGACCAAAAUAGACAUGUACAGUGCGAACUAAAGGGAAAGGAGAGAAGGGGCCGUUAACACUGCGUAAGCAGAGGAACUCAAGGAGAGAUGGUUUUCAGUGCUAAAAAGCAGAGGUCCUUCCAGUUACCUGCACAUUCUCUCCCUGUGGAUUGCGGAGCACGGAAGCUCGGGAUGUUGUCACAGGAACGGCUCCCGUGAUUUGGCCAGGAUCCCAAUUGUGUUUUAAGUGCUCGAAAGGCUGAGGGUAGCUAGCAGCAGG
Long non-coding RNA from Chinchilla lanigera (long-tailed chinchilla), 1404 nucleotides. RefSeq lists it as uncharacterized. The transcript is spliced from 3 exons. Lineage: Eukaryota; Metazoa; Chordata; Mammalia; Rodentia; Chinchillidae. The record is from RefSeq and is a predicted model, not a curated record.